Tuber melanosporum (Perigord truffle) is the source of this 72-nucleotide transfer RNA. It matches the Rfam family "tRNA". Rfam says of the family: Transfer RNA (tRNA) molecules are approximately 80 nucleotides in length. Their secondary structure includes four short double-helical elements and three loops (D, anti-codon, and T loops). NCBI's taxonomy places the organism in Eukaryota, Fungi, Ascomycota, Pezizomycetes, Pezizales, Tuberaceae. The record is from Rfam.
GGCCGGAUGGCGCAAUGGUAGCGCGCAGCCCUCCUAAGGUUGAGGUUGACGGUUCGAGUCCGUCUUCGGUCG